RNAcentral lists this ribosomal RNA (467 nucleotides) under uncultured bacterium. RNAcentral describes it as "bacterial SSU rRNA". It matches the Rfam family "Bacterial small subunit ribosomal RNA", at positions 355 to 825 of the family's 1533-position model. The record is from RNAcentral.
UAGGGAAUAUUGGACAAUGGGUGAGAGCCUGAUCCAGCCAUGCCGCGUGCAGGAAGAAGGCGUUAUGCGUUGUAAACUGCUUUUUGCCAGGGGAUAAAAAGACCGUGCGCGGUUAAUUGAAGGUACCUGGUGAAUAAGCCACGGCUAACUACGUGCCAGCAGCCGCGGUAAUACGUAGGUGGCAAGCGUUGUCCGGAUUUAUUGGGUUUAAAGGGUGCGUAGGUGGCCCUGUAAGUCAGUGGUGAAAUAUCUCAGCUUAACUGAGAGGGUGCCAUUGAUACUGCAGGGCUUGAGUACAGAUGAGGUAGGCGGAAUUGACGGUGUAGCGGUGAAAUGCAUAGAUAUCGUCAAGAACACCGAUAGCGAAGGCAGCUUACCAAGCUGUAACUGACACUGAGGCACGAAAGUGUGGGGAUCAAACAGGAUUAGAUACCCAGGUAGUCCCUGAGCGGGCUGGCAAGGCGCAU